RNAcentral lists this ribosomal RNA (253 nucleotides) under uncultured bacterium. RNAcentral's name for it is "partial 16S ribosomal RNA". It matches the Rfam family "Bacterial small subunit ribosomal RNA", at positions 524 to 776 of the family's 1533-position model. RNAcentral also lists the same sequence under 1 other name. The record is from RNAcentral.
UACGUAGGGGGCAAGCGUUGUCCGGAUUUAUUGGGCGUAAAGAGCGUGUAGGCGGUUGGGUAGGUCCGUUGUGAAAACUCGAGGCUCAACCUCGAGACGCCGAUGGAAACCCCCCAGCUAGAGUCCGGAAGAGGAGAGUGGAAUUCCUGGUGUAGCGGUGAAAUGCGCAGAUAUCAGGAAGAACACCCGUGGCUAAGGCGGCUCUCUAGUACGGUACUGACGCUGAGACGCGAAAGCGUGGGGAGCGAACAGG